This 214-nucleotide long non-coding RNA is filed under the name Sorghum bicolor (sorghum). RNAcentral describes it as "long non-coding RNA (SBIC_LNC016194)". Lineage: Eukaryota; Viridiplantae; Streptophyta; Magnoliopsida; Poales; Poaceae. The record is from RNAcentral.
UCGUCUGUGUAUUCUUUUUCUUUUCCCUUUUUACCACACUCACCUUACCAUUUUCACCACACCACAUGGAUUUCACUCCUAUCUAUAAAUUCUUUGCUCCAAAGGGCGAGAUAUUAGAGCCACCACCAUCAUCACAUCCAAUUCUUAUAGAUGGCUAUGACCUCGGCCCUGAUCUAAUAGCCAUGAUUCAGGAGAAACCCUUCUCUGGGCAAGU